This 655-nucleotide long non-coding RNA is filed under the name Meleagris gallopavo (turkey). RNAcentral's name for it is "lncRNA (ENSMGAG00000020098.1)". The record is from RNAcentral. Lineage: Eukaryota; Metazoa; Chordata; Aves; Galliformes; Phasianidae.
AUUUUGAAACAUUUCAAACCGUUGUAUUUCAGAAGUUGUAUUCCAGAAUAUAGUGUUCUGGAAGCAAAGAAAGAGGACUUGUCAGUUGAACAGAAUAGAGAUUAUUAAUGUUUUGGAAGUCUAAGGGCGUAUCCUCCAGUCUGUGAUACCCACUCUACAAAGAGGAAAGUAGCUUGACUAAAAGAGAGGACUUUAAAAGUGAAAGCUAGACUUGAGCUCAAGAAACUAUGGAGAUGACACAGGGCUCCAAACGAUAUGACAGUGCUGUAAUUGUGGCACGAAGGAAUAACUGAAAGAGCAGAACUAAAAAUGGUCCUCAUGAGCAAACAAACAAGCAAAAAUGAUGACCCUUCACAAAGAGCAUGUGGGACACCUAUCUCAGAUUUUGGAAGAAAUUUACAUGUAUGCCUGUGAAAUAAGAAUUCUUCAAGAUUACUGUAACCUAAUUAAAAUACGUGUCCUUCCUUCUGUCAUUCUUUUUCUCUUUCCCACUCUCGUUCUUGCCUUCUCAACAUCUUUCUCUCUCCCCUUUUCUCUCUCUCUAACUCCCCAUCACAAUUAUAGUUCUUAUCAUCACAAAGAGCUUACGGCAGAGAUUGUCUCCCUGUCUUUAUUUUUUCAAUUUUAUACUGCCAACCACUGGUGUUAUUUCUGA